RNAcentral lists this transfer RNA (62 nucleotides) under Geocoris pallidipennis. Its description in RNAcentral is "tRNA-Pro". Lineage: Eukaryota; Metazoa; Arthropoda; Insecta; Hemiptera; Geocoridae. The record is from RNAcentral.
CAGUAAAUAGUUUAUUAAAAUAUUAAUUUUGGAGAUUAAAGAUAGGCUUAGCUUUUUACUGA